GGACAUCAGGAGGUUAGUGCAAUGGCAUAAGCCAGCUUGACUGCGAGCGUGACGGCGCGAGCAGGUGCGAAAGCAGGUCAUAGUGAUCCGGUGGUUCUGAAUGGAAGGGCCAUCGCUCAACGGAUAAAAGGUACUCCGGGGAUAACAGGCUGAUACCGCCCAAGAGUUCAUAUCGACGGCGGUGUUUGGCACCUCGAUGUCGGCUCAUCACAUCCUGGGGCUGAAGUAGGUCCCAAGGGUAUGGCUGUUCGCCAUUUAAAGUGGUACGCGAGCUGGGUUUAGAACGUCGUGAGACAGUUCGGUCCCUAUCUGCCGUGGGCGCUGGAGAACUGAGGGGGGCUGCUCCUAGUACGAGAGGACCGGAGUGGACGCAUCACUGGUGUUCGGGUUGUCAUGCCAAUGGCACUGCCCGGUAGCUAAAUGCGGAAGAGAUAAGUGCUGAAAGCAUCUAAGCACGAAACUUGCCCCGAGAUGAGUUCUCCCUGACUCCUUGAGAGUCCUGAAGGAACGUUGAAGACGACGACGUUGAUAGGCCGGGUGUGUAAGCGCAGCGAUGCGUUGAGCUAACCGGUACUAAUGAACCGUGAGG
RNAcentral lists this ribosomal RNA (589 nucleotides) under Escherichia coli. RNAcentral's name for it is "partial 23S ribosomal RNA". It matches the Rfam family "Bacterial large subunit ribosomal RNA", at positions 2333 to 2916 of the family's 2925-position model. Lineage: Bacteria; Pseudomonadati; Pseudomonadota; Gammaproteobacteria; Enterobacterales; Enterobacteriaceae. The record is from RNAcentral.